CGUUGCUUGACUUUUUUACAUGACAUGUUGGGCAAAUGCAGAAAGGCAGUGCCUUCUAUCAGUUGGGAGUCAAUUACGAGAAGCGGGCUUUUUGAAGGAGGAAGGAUUUGAACAGGAAGCUGCAGAUGUAUAAGGAAGAGCUGGAAAGACGACUUCUGGGGAGAGAGUGACAGAAAUCCUGCACAGGUACCAUGACCUUGAGAAUCGAAUCUGCUCUAGAUCGGAAGUUCUCAAGAAAAUAGUGUUUCCAGGUCACUAGGGGGGCAUUUUCUGAACGAUACAAUGUAUCCUUUCCUCUCUAAGGGGUUCUGAUAGGUUAAGUGCAUUUUGGAAAAAAAGAAGUCCUUACAAAGUCUGGAUGCCCCCCACUUCCUCCUCUUCAUCUCUCUUCAGGGUGAACCUCCAGGAUUCAGUGGUUUGCUCUGUGUUGUGGGGCUGACAUUCAAGGUCAAGUGCUGACCCCCAGUGUCUCAGAAUGUGAGUGUAUUUGGGCCUCUAAAGACUGAAUCAGGGUGAAAUGAGGGCCCAGAUGGGAGGCCUGAAUCCAGUAUGACUGGCGUCUUUCUAAGAAGAACCGAUCGAGACAUAAGCACAAAGAGAAGACCAUGUGAAGAGCCAGCGAGAAGUCCAAUCUCUGUGAGCCUCAGCAAGAGGCCCCAGGAGAAGCCAGCCCUGCCAGAGCUUGGGCCUUGGACUUCCAGCCUCAGGACUGUGAGGAAAACACAUUCCUGUUGUCUAAGCCACCCGGCCUGUGGUGCUUUGUUAUGGCAGCCCCGACAAGCUGAGCAGCUCCGUGCCGCUGCACCAGUAGUUUAGGUCCAGAGAGCUUCGCUGGUGUUGGGAGCAUGAGAGCUGGCAGGCAGGUCAGGGAAGAAUCCAGGGCACUGUGAGGAACCCAAGAGAAGAACGUUCUGGCAAUGCUGAUGCAAAGUCCAGAAGUUCAGGCUGCCAAGCCUUCAUCCACCUUCAUUCCCAAGCUUAAUUUCCUUUGGAAAACUAACAAUUAGUUUUUAAGAGUCAGCUAAUACUAGAAUGCUUAUGAAGGAAUCAGCCCUGCCCUGCCCUGCCGUCACCCUCCUCCCCCGCAGCAAGCAGCUGCGGCUUUGCUGGCUGUGUCCUCUACUGGUAACUUCAUCUUGUGAAUAAUAUGCCUAUAUUCUUAUUUUAUUCACUCAAUGAAUAUUUAAUGAGGUGCAGUUCUAGCUGCAGGUUCCCAGCAGUGAACAAAACAGGCCACAUUCACUUUUCCCAGAGAGCUGACAUUUCGUCGGAGGAGGAACACAAUGAUUGUGUAGGAUGUGAUUGUGGUACAGUAAAACAUUCAAAGUCAGGAUGCAUGUUUGAACCAAAACACACAUGAGAAAAACUGCAUUUAGGCGAGGGAGUGACUCAUAGGAUAUCUGAGGGUGAAGAGCGCAGGUAAUGUGAACACACAUACAAAGCCCCUCAGAUGGGAGCGCUUCAGAUGUGUUGUAGAAACAAGAAGAGCACGAAAGCAGAGUGAGCAGGGCUGAGCAGCCGGCGGUGUGGCCAGAGAACACAGGUGUGCCUGGGAACAGGUGGUGUAGGGCUCUGUGCCCAUCAGAGCUCUCAGCUUUCACCCUGAGUGAUGGAGCCUUGGGGAGGUUUAGAACAGGGAGGCACGAGAUGCAGAACAGAGUGACAUUUCAAGAGAGAGCCCCCCUGGCUCCUGGGGUGAGAAUAGAUGGGAGGAGGCAGGGCUGAGAAGGAGCGGGAGGGGGCUGUGGUCACAGCACUGUCCAGAGGGUGAGAAGUGGGGAGUAUUUUGAAAGCACAGCUGCCAAAAUUUGCUGAUAAAUUGGCUGUAGGGUGCAUGGGAAAGGGGGGUGCCAGGGAUGACUCCAAUCCUUUUGGUCUGAAGAACUGAACAAUGGUGGUUCUACUGACAAAGGCUGGCACACUGUUAUGAGAGCAGAUUAAAGAGGGAACAAUGUAGCAGUUGCCUUAGUUGACAGCCUUAGUUUACCCUGCUGUCAUGACAUGAUUAUCAGCAGCUUCCUGUCAAUCUCAGGAGAGCCCCUGCUUGGCUGAUGCAUUCUGGUCACUGUCCUGCAGGCAGUUGAGCGGGACUCUACUAGGGGCAGACCUUCAGAUCCUUCAACAGCUCUGUCAUUUGGCCAUCAAAUUAAGAUUAAUAAAGUAAAAUGCAUCACUUCCAUUUUUCAUGAGAGAUUUCAUUCCAGAGAACACCAUUUAUUUACGUAUUUAGCAACUACAGUGAGCGUUGUAGGUGCCAGGCACUGUUCUCGGCAGGUUGUCCAUACUAACUCACUUUAU
This is a non-coding RNA of Manis javanica (Malayan pangolin), 2298 nucleotides long. The record is from RefSeq and is a predicted model, not a curated record. NCBI's taxonomy places the organism in Eukaryota, Metazoa, Chordata, Mammalia, Pholidota, Manidae.